AGAGUUUGAUCCUGGCUCAGGAUGAACGCUAGCGACAGGCUUAACACAUGCAAGUCGAGGGGCAGCAUGGUAGGUAGCAAUACUUAUUGAUGGCGACCGGCGCACGGGUGAGUAACGCGUAUGCAACUUACCUAUCAGAGGGGGAUAGCCCGGCGAAAGUCGGAUUAAUACUCCAUAAAACAAGGGUCCCGCAUGGGAAUAUUUGUUAAAGAUUUAUCGCUGAUAGAUAGGCAUGCGUUCCAUUAGGCAGUUGGCGGGGUAACGGCCACCAAACCGACGAUGGGAUAGGGGUUCUGGAGAGGAAGGUCCCCCACGAUUGGUACUGAGACACGGACCAAACUCCUACGGGAGGCA
RNAcentral lists this ribosomal RNA (354 nucleotides) under uncultured bacterium. RNAcentral describes it as "bacterial SSU rRNA". It matches the Rfam family "Bacterial small subunit ribosomal RNA", at positions 8 to 350 of the family's 1533-position model. The record is from RNAcentral.